CGGGAUGUAGCGUAGUUUGGUAGCGCAUCUGCUUUGGGAGCAGAAUGUCACAGGUUCAAAUCCUGUCAUCCCGA
Molecule: transfer RNA, 74 nt
Filed under: Chlorobotrys sp.
Lineage: Eukaryota; Eustigmatophyceae; Eustigmatales; Chlorobotryaceae
Description: tRNA-Pro
Rfam family: tRNA
About the family: Transfer RNA (tRNA) molecules are approximately 80 nucleotides in length. Their secondary structure includes four short double-helical elements and three loops (D, anti-codon, and T loops).
Source: RNAcentral